GACGAACGCUGGCGGCGUGCUUAACACAUGCAAGUCGAACGGAAAGGCCCUGCUUUUGUGGGGUGCUCGAGUGGCGAACGGGUGAGUAACACGUGAGUAACCUGCCCUUGACUUUGGGAUAACUUCAGGUAACUGGGGCUAAUACCGGAUAGGAGCUCCUGCUGCAUGGUGGGGGUUGGAAAGUUUCUGCGGUUGGGGAUGGACUGGCGGCUUAUGAGCUUGUUGGUUGGGUAGUGGCUUACCCAGGCUUUGACCGGUCGCCGGCCUGGGAGGGUGGCCGGGGACAAUGGGACUGAGGUAGGGCGCAGUGGCCUACGGGAGGCAGCAGGGGGGAGUAUUGCACAAUGGGAGGAAGCCUGAUGCAGCGACGUCGCGGGCGGGAUGACGGUCUUCGGGUAGAAAACCGCUUUCGCCUGUGACGCAGCGUGAGUGACGGUAAUGGGUAAAGAAGCACCGGCUAACUACGUG
Molecule: ribosomal RNA, 468 nt
Filed under: uncultured bacterium
Lineage: Bacteria
Description: partial 16S ribosomal RNA
Rfam family: Bacterial small subunit ribosomal RNA
Source: RNAcentral